UGACAGAGAGAGGUAGAGUUUGAGGUGGGAGUAGAGGUAUUUUUUAUUUAACUAAUCAAGUCAGUUAAGAAUAAAUUAUUAUUUACAAUGACGGCCUACCCUGGAUGACGCUGGGCCAAUUGUGCACCACCCUUUCAGAUUCCCAAUCACGGCAGGAUGUGAUGCAGCCUGGAUUCAAAUCAGGUACUGCAGUGACACCUCUUGCACUGAGAUGCAGUGUCUUAGACCACUGCGCCACUGGGGAGAGGUAGAGACAGAGGUGGACAUAGAGGUGGAGGUGGAGAUAGAGGUGGAGGUAGAGAUAGAGGUGGAGGUAGAGAUAGAGAUCGAGGUGGCGGUAGAGGUAGAGAGAGGUGGAGAUAGAGAUAGAGGGAGGUAGAGAGAAGUGGCGAUGGAGAUAGAGAUAAAGGUGGAGGUUGGGGUGGAGGUAGAGAUGAAGGCAGAGGAGUAGGUGGAGAUAGAGGUGGAGGUGGGGGUAGAGAUGAAGGCGGAGGAGUAGGUGGAGAUAGAGGUGGAGGUGGGGGUAGAGAUGGAGGAGGAGGUAGAGAUGGAGGUAUUUGUAUUUAUUAUGGAUCAAAUCAAAUGUAUUUAUAAAGCCCUUCUUACAUCAGCUGAUAUUUCAAAGUACUGUACAGAAACCCAGCCUAAAACCCCAAACAGCAAGCAACGCAGGUGUAGAAGCACGAUGGCCAGGAAAAACUCCCUAGAAAGGACUGAACCUAGGAAGAAACAUAGAGAGUAACCAGGCUAUGAGGGGUGGCCAUUCCUCUUCUGGCUGUGCCGGGUGGCCAAGAUGUUCAAAUGUUCAUAGAUGACCAGCAGGGUCAAAUAAUAAUAAUCACAGUGGUUGUCGAGGGUGCAACAGCUCAGCACCUCAGGAGUAAAUGUCAGUUAGCAUUUCAUAGCCGAUCAUUCAGAGUAUCUCUGCCACUCCUGCUGUCUCUAGAGAGUUGAAAACAGCAGGUCUGGGACAGGUAGCACAUCCGGUGAAAAGGUCAGGGUUCCAUAGGCGCAGGCAGAACAGUUGAAAUUGGAGCAGCAGCACGGCCAGGUGGACUGGGGACAGCAAGGAGUCAUCAGGCCAGGUAGUCCUGAGGCAUGGUCCUAAGGCUCAGGUCCUCCGAGAGAGAGAAAGAAAGAGAGAAAGAGAAAAAAAGAGAAAAUUAAAAAGAGCAUACUUAAAUUCACACAGAACACCGGAUUAGACAGGAGAAAUACUCCAGAUAUAACAGACUGACCCUAGCCCCCCGACACAAACUACUGCAGCAUAAAUACUGGAGGCUGAGAAAGGAGGGGUCGGGAGACACUGUGGCCCCAUCUGACGAUACCCCCGGACAGGGACAAACAGGCAGGAUAUAACCCCACCCACUUUGCCAAAGCACAGCCCCACACCACUAGAGGGAUAUCUUCAACCACAACUUACCAUCCUCAGACAAGGCCGAGUAUAGCCCACAAAGAUCUUCACCAUGGCACAACCCAAGGGGGGGUG
This is a long non-coding RNA of Oncorhynchus tshawytscha (Chinook salmon), 1489 nucleotides long. Lineage: Eukaryota; Metazoa; Chordata; Actinopteri; Salmoniformes; Salmonidae. The record is from Ensembl.